Molecule: ribosomal RNA, 121 nt
Organism: Capra hircus (goat)
Lineage: Eukaryota; Metazoa; Chordata; Mammalia; Artiodactyla; Bovidae
Source: Ensembl
GUCUACGGUCAGAACACCCCGAGCGCGCCCCAUCUCAGCUGGCCUCGGAAGCUAAGGAGGGUCGGGCCUGGUUAGUACCCAGAUGGGACAGGGCCCAGAUGCCAGUAGGUGACUGUCUGCC